RNAcentral lists this ribosomal RNA (301 nucleotides) under uncultured bacterium. RNAcentral describes it as "partial 16S ribosomal RNA". It matches the Rfam family "Bacterial small subunit ribosomal RNA", at positions 509 to 807 of the family's 1533-position model. The record is from RNAcentral.
CAGCCGCCACGGUAAUACGUGGGGUGCGAGCGUUAAUCGGAAUUACUGGGCGUAAAGCGUACGCAGGCGGUUGUGUAAGACAGGUGUGAAAUCCCCGGGCUUAACCUAGGAACUGCGCUUGUGACUGCACAGCUAGAGUAUGGCAGAGGGGGGUGGAAUUCCACGUGUAGCAGUGAAAUGCGUAGAGAUGUGGAGGAACACCGAUGGCGAAGGCAGCCCCCUGGGCCAAUACUGACGCUCAUGCACGAAAGCGUGGGGAGCAAACAGGAUUAGAUACCCCUGUAGUCCCUGUCUCUUAUAC